RNAcentral lists this ribosomal RNA (359 nucleotides) under uncultured bacterium. RNAcentral describes it as "bacterial SSU rRNA". It matches the Rfam family "Bacterial small subunit ribosomal RNA", at positions 32 to 369 of the family's 1533-position model. The record is from RNAcentral.
AAUCAACGCUGGCGGCGUGCCUCAGACAUGCAAGUCGAACGCUGCUGUUCGCCUUCGGGUGGACAGCGGAGUGGCGCACGGGUGAGUAACACGUAGGUAAUCUACCUUUGGGUGGGAAUAACAGCCGGAAACGGGCUGCUAAUACCGCAUAAUGCAGCGGCAUCACAUGAUGACAGUUGUUAAAGCGAGGGAUCGUAAGACCUCGCGCCUGAAGAGGAGCCUGCGGCAGAUUAGGUAGUUGGUGAGGUAAUGGCUCACCAAGCCUGCGAUCUGUAACCGGCCUGAGAGGGCGGUCGGUCACACUGACACUGACAUACGGGUCAGACUCCUACGGGAGGCAGCAGUCGGGAAUUUUGGGC